RNAcentral lists this ribosomal RNA (481 nucleotides) under uncultured bacterium. Its description in RNAcentral is "partial 16S ribosomal RNA". It matches the Rfam family "Bacterial small subunit ribosomal RNA", at positions 30 to 507 of the family's 1533-position model. The record is from RNAcentral.
AUUGAACGCUGGCGGCAGGCCUAACACAUGCAAGUCGAGCGCGAAAGUUCUUCGGAAUGAGUAAAGCGGCGGACGGGUGAGUAAUGCAUGGGAAUCUGCCUGGUAGUGGGGGACAACGUCUCGAAAGGGACGCUAAUACCGCAUACGCCCUACGGGGGAAAGGGGGGGAUCUUCGGACCUCUCGCUAUCAGAUGAGCCCAUGUCAGAUUAGCUAGUUGGUGGGGUAAAGGCCUACCAAGGCGACGAUCUGUAACUGGUCUGAGAGGAUGAUCAGUCACACUGGAACUGAGACACGGUCCAGACCCCUACGGGAGGCAGCAGUGGGGAAUAUUGGACAAUGGGCGAAAGCCUGAUCCAGCCAUGCCGCGUGUGUGAAGAAGGCCUUAGGGUUGUAAAGCACUUUCAGUGGGGAGAAAGGCUGUUUACUUAAUCCGUAGGCAGAUUGAUGUUACCCACAGAAGAAGCACCGGCUAACUCCGUG